CUGUCGCUGAGGCUGGCAUCUCCGAGCCCCCGCGCGGGGGGCUGCCGCCCGAGCGCUGAUUGACAGGCUGCCUCGCCAAUGCCUGGAGGGAGAAAGGAGGGACUCCAAGAGAAUACCUGACUCCCUCAUGUCUCCCCAUUGUACAGAUGAGAAAACUGAGGCUCUCCGAGGUUGAAGGGAAUUGGCCAAAGUCAGAUUCUCAGGAGUGGACGACAGAGUUGAAUUGAUGAAUUGAGCUCAUUUGAAUUCAAAUGCUUACUUCUUAUAGCAAGUACACUGUAUAAUUGAGGGAGUAAAAUGACACCUCCCUUUGGGGUGUUGAGUAAUUUUAAAAUGUUACAUAUAUUUUGUACAUGUGAUAUACAUGUAUGUGUGUGUGUGUAUAUCUAUCUAUCUAUCUAUCUAUCUAUCUAUCUAUCUAUCUAUCUAUCUAUAUAGAUCUAUCUAUCUAUCUAUUUAUCUCACACUUGCAGGACUGAGACUGUCCAAGGGUUCUCACUCCCUGAAUUGCCCAGUAAAUUACUCACUGCAGCUGGUGCCACCAGGCCAGUUUCUGGAGAAUACACAAUUGCAGUAGUUUAGAGAAGAUCUCAAUGGUUCGAGUACAAACCUCAUGGGGUACAGAUGUCUUAAAAUAUAGAGGACAUCCUGGGCUCCUCUCAGUCACUUUUUCAGCAGAGCCCAUUCUCCCUGACUCAAAUUACCCUUCCUUCAGGCCGACUUCAAUACCAGCAUCCCUGCUCAGGGAUUGGGUUCCAGCCUUCAUUCUUCACUAUCCAGGUCAGAGUUCAGGGUGCUCCUUGAUGUAUAACCCUCAUCUCCCCGGUCUGGAGCUAGUUUCUUUUUCAGAGCUUUCCUUUUAGAAAAAGAGAAGGUAUCCCAUUUUCUUCUUCCGGGGUCCGGUUCAUUUGGUUCUCAUUUCCCUGAUCUCCCUUCCUUUGGAAGCAUUCUCUUUCUUCUUUGCUGGUUCAGCUUCUGUGCUCCUCCACCCUAGAUUGUCUCCCUCUCUGCUGUGGGCUCCUCAGAUGGUGCUGGCCCCCCUCCAUUUAUUAGAGAUGAAAUAAAUAAUGCCAUAAAUAAAAGUAUUUGGGAAUCCA
Molecule: non-coding RNA, 1097 nt
Organism: Heterocephalus glaber (naked mole-rat)
Lineage: Eukaryota; Metazoa; Chordata; Mammalia; Rodentia; Bathyergidae
Source: RefSeq, a predicted model, not a curated record